GAUGAACGCUGGCGGUGUGCCUAAUACAUGCAAGUCGAGCGAACAGACGAGGAGCUUACUCCUCUGACGUUAGCGGCGGACGGGUGAGUAACACGUGGAUAACCUACCUAUAAGACUGGGAUAACUUCGGGAAACCGGAGCUAAUACCGGAUAACAUGUUGAACCGCAUGGUUCAACAGUGAAAGACGCUCUUGCUGUCACUUAUAGAUGGAUCCGCGUCGCAUUAGCUAGUUGGUAAGGUAACGGCUUACCAAGGCAACGAUGCGUAGCCGACCUGAGAGGGUGAUCGACCACACUGGAGCUGAGACAAGGUCCAGACUCCGACGGGAGGCAGCAGUAGGGAAUCUUCCGCAAUGGGCGAAAGCCGGACGGAGCAUAGCAGCGUGAGUGACGAAGGUGUUAGGAUCGUAAAACUCUGUUAUUAGGGAAGAAGAAAUGUGUAAGUAACUAUGCACAUCUUGACGGUACCGAAUCAGAAAGCCACGGCUAACUACGUG
This 497-nucleotide ribosomal RNA is filed under the name uncultured bacterium. RNAcentral describes it as "partial 16S ribosomal RNA". It matches the Rfam family "Bacterial small subunit ribosomal RNA", at positions 28 to 507 of the family's 1533-position model. The record is from RNAcentral.